RNAcentral lists this ribosomal RNA (253 nucleotides) under uncultured bacterium. RNAcentral's name for it is "partial 16S ribosomal RNA". It matches the Rfam family "Bacterial small subunit ribosomal RNA", at positions 524 to 776 of the family's 1533-position model. The record is from RNAcentral.
UACAGAUGGUGCAAGCGUUGUUCGGAAUCAUUGGGCGUAAAGGGCGCGUAGGCGGUUGAUUAAGUUGAAUGUGAAAGCCCGGGGCUCAACCUCGGAAGUGCAUUCAAAACUAGUCGACUAGAGUUCCGCAGAGGAUGGUAGAAUUCCCAGUGUAGAGGUGAAAUUCGUAGAUAUUGGGAGGAAUACCAGUGGCGAAGGCGACCAUCUGGACGGAUACUGACGCUGAGGCGCGAAAGCGUGGGUAGCAAACAGG